RNAcentral lists this ribosomal RNA (538 nucleotides) under uncultured Mycobacterium sp. RNAcentral describes it as "bacterial SSU rRNA". It matches the Rfam family "Bacterial small subunit ribosomal RNA", at positions 54 to 606 of the family's 1533-position model. Lineage: Bacteria; Bacillati; Actinomycetota; Actinomycetes; Mycobacteriales; Mycobacteriaceae. The record is from RNAcentral.
CAUGCAAGUCGAACGGAAAGGCCCCUUCGGGGGUACUCGAGUGGCGAACGGGUGAGUAACACGUGGGUGACCUGCCCUGCACUUUGGGAUAAGCCUGGGAAACUGGGUCUAAUACCGAAUACACCUCAUGGGAUGCAUGUUUUGUGGGGGAAAGCUUUUGCGGUGUGGGAUGGGCCCGCGGCCUAUCAGCUUGUUGGUGAGGUUACGGCUCACCAAGGCGACGACGGGUAGCCGGCCUGAGAGGGUGUCCGGCCACACUGGGACUGAGAUACGGCCCAGACUCCUACGGGAGGCAGCAGUGGGGAAUAUUGCACAAUGGGCGCAAGCCUGAUGCAGCGACGCCGCGUGAGGGAUGACGGCCUUCGGGUUGUAAACCUCUUUCGCCAGGGACGAAGCGCAAGUGACGGUACCUGGAGAAGAAGCACCGGCCAACUACGUGCCAGCAGCCGCGGUAAUACGUAGGGUGCGAGCGUUGUCCGGAAUUACUGGGCGUAAAGAGCUCGUAGGUGGUUUGUCGCGUUGUUCGUGAAAACUCACA